This 590-nucleotide ribosomal RNA is filed under the name Bacillus cereus. Its description in RNAcentral is "bacterial SSU rRNA". It matches the Rfam family "Bacterial small subunit ribosomal RNA", at positions 69 to 644 of the family's 1533-position model. The record is from RNAcentral. Lineage: Bacteria; Bacillati; Bacillota; Bacilli; Caryophanales; Bacillaceae.
GGAUUAAGAGCUUGCUCUUAUGAAGUUAGCGGCGGACGGGUGAGUAACACGUGGGUAACCUGCCCAUAAGACUGGGAUAACUCCGGGAAACCGGGGCUAAUACCGGAUAACAUUUUGAACCGCAUGGUUCGAAAUUGAAAGGCGGCUUCGGCUGUCACUUAUGGAUGGACCCGCGUCGCAUUAGCUAGUUGGUGAGGUAACGGCUCACCAAGGCAACGAUGCGUAGCCGACCUGAGAGGGUGAUCGGCCACACUGGGACUGAGACACGGCCCAGACUCCUACGGGAGGCAGCAGUAGGGAAUCUUCCGCAAUGGACGAAAGUCUGACGGAGCAACGCCGCGUGAGUGAUGAAGGCUUUCGGGUCGUAAAACUCUGUUGUUAGGGAAGAACAAGUGCUAGUUGAAUAAGCUGGCACCUUGACGGUACCUAACCAGAAAGCCACGGCUAACUACGUGCCAGCAGCCGCGGUAAUACGUAGGUGGCAAGCGUUAUCCGGAAUUAUUGGGCGUAAGCGCGCGCAGGUGGUUUCUUAAGUCUGAUGUGAAAGCCCACGGCUCACCGUGGAGGGUCAUUGGAAACUGGGAGACUUG